GAUGAACGCUGGCGGCGUGCCUAAUACAUGCAAGUCGAGCGAACAGAUGAGGAGCUUGCUCCUCUGACGUUAGCGGCGGACGGGUGAGUAACACGUGGAUAACCUACCUAUAAUACUGGGAUAACUUCGGGAAACCGGCGCUAAUACCGGAUAAUAUAUUGAACCGCAUGGUUCAAUAGUGAAAGACGGUUGUGCUGUCACUUAUAGAUGGAUCUGCGCCGGAUUAGAUAGUUGUUAAGGUAACGGCCUUCCAAGGCAACGAUGCGUAGACGACCUGAGAGGGUGAUAGCCCACCUUGGAACUGAGACGCGGUCCAGGCUACUACGGGAGGCAGCAGUCGGGAAUCGGCCGCAAUGGGCGAGAGUAUGACGGAGCAACGCCGCGUGAGUGAUGGAGGUCUUCGGAUCGUAAAACUCUGUUAUUAGGGAAGAACAACUGUGUAAGUAACUAUGCACGUAUUGACGGUACCUAAUCAGAAAGCCACGGCUAACUACGUG
This 497-nucleotide ribosomal RNA is filed under the name uncultured bacterium. Its description in RNAcentral is "partial 16S ribosomal RNA". It matches the Rfam family "Bacterial small subunit ribosomal RNA", at positions 28 to 507 of the family's 1533-position model. The record is from RNAcentral.